Molecule: long non-coding RNA, 260 nt
Organism: Rhinopithecus roxellana (golden snub-nosed monkey)
Lineage: Eukaryota; Metazoa; Chordata; Mammalia; Primates; Cercopithecidae
Exons: 3
Source: RefSeq, a predicted model, not a curated record
CUAUUAAAACAUGUUUGUCUUCAAAGAAUGGCCUUGGUUUCUGUGGGCAGUGUCUCCUCAUGGAAAGCAGCCUUUGUCACUUCAAACACUGCAAGUGUUCUUUUAAAAAAAUUAUAUCAACCUUUCAAUUAAAAUGCAACAUGUCUGCAACCUGGUAUCUAGAGAGGAACAGUAAGAGGACCUUUUGCUUGAAUAAUUUUUAUCCACACUACAGAGUGGAUAAUGAGCAGAUUAUGUAAAAACAAUUCUGCUUCACUUCA